UACGUAGGGGGCAAGCGUUAUCCGGAUUUACUGGGUGUAAAGGGAGCGUAGACGGCAGGGCAAGUCUGGAGUGAAAGCCCGGGGCUCAACUCCGGGACUGCUUUUGAAACUGUGUGACUGGAGUGCAGGAGAGGUAAGCGGAAUUCCUAGUGUAGCGGUGAAAUGCGUAGAUAUUAGGAGGAACACCAGUGGCGAAGGCAGCUUACCAAGCUACUUCUGACGUUGAGGCACGAAAGCGUGGGGAGCAAACAGG
RNAcentral lists this ribosomal RNA (253 nucleotides) under uncultured Lachnospiraceae bacterium. Its description in RNAcentral is "partial 16S ribosomal RNA". It matches the Rfam family "Bacterial small subunit ribosomal RNA", at positions 524 to 776 of the family's 1533-position model. Lineage: Bacteria; Bacillati; Bacillota; Clostridia; Lachnospirales; Lachnospiraceae. The record is from RNAcentral.